This 516-nucleotide ribosomal RNA is filed under the name uncultured bacterium. Its description in RNAcentral is "bacterial SSU rRNA". It matches the Rfam family "Bacterial small subunit ribosomal RNA", at positions 28 to 528 of the family's 1533-position model. The record is from RNAcentral.
GACGAACGCUGGCGGCGUGGAUUAGGCAUGCAAGUCGGACGGUAGGGCUUUAUCGUAAGAUAGAGUUUGAGAGUGGCGAACGGGUGAGUAACACGUAGGAAUCUACCCUUAAGACGGGGACAACCCAGGGAAACUUGGGCUAAUACCGGAUGAGAGUGCGAGAGAUUGCAUUUAAAAGGAUGGCGAAAGUUAUCGCUUAGGGAUGAGCCUGCGGUCUAUUAGUUAGUUGGUGGGGUAAGAGCUCACCAAGGCGAUGAUAGAUAGGCGGCCUUAACGGGUGGUCGCCCACACUGGGGAUUGAGAUACGGCCCAGACUCCUACGGGAGGCAGCAGUCGAGAAUAGUCUACAAUGGCCGGAAGGCUGAUAGUGCGACGCCGCGUGAACGAGGGAGCCCUUCGGGGUGUAAAGUUCUUUUCUAUACGAGCAGUGCUAUAUAUAUGGAUAGUAUAUAUAGAGGGAUAGUAGUAUAGGAAUAAGCAACGGCUAACUCCGUGCCAGCCGCCGCGGUAAAACCC